UCCUACGGGAGGCAGCAGUAGGGAAUCUUCCGCAAUGGACGAAAGUCUGACGGAGCAACGCCGCGUGAGUGAUGAAGGCUUUCGGGUCGUAAAACUCUGUUGUUAGGGAAGAACAAGUGCUAGUUGAAUAAGCUGGCACCUUGACGGUACCUAACCAGAAAGCCACGGCUAACUACGUGCCAGCAGCCGCGGUAAUACGUAGGUGGCAAGCGUUAUCCGGAAUUAUUGGGCGUAAAGCGCGCGCAGGUGGUUUCUUAAGUCUGAUGUGAAAGCCCACGGCUCAACCGUGGAGGGUCAUUGGAAACUGGGAGACUUGAGUGCAGAAGAGGAAAGUGGAAUUCCAUGUGUAGCGGUGAAAUGCGUAGAGAUAUGGAGGAACACCAGUGGCGAAGGCGACUUUCUGGUCUGUAACUGACACUGAGGCGCGAAAGCGUGGGGAGCAAACAGGAUUAGAUACCCUGGUAGUCCACGCCGUAAACGAUGAGUGCUAAGUGU
RNAcentral lists this ribosomal RNA (495 nucleotides) under uncultured bacterium. Its description in RNAcentral is "bacterial SSU rRNA". It matches the Rfam family "Bacterial small subunit ribosomal RNA", at positions 337 to 823 of the family's 1533-position model. The record is from RNAcentral.